This 253-nucleotide ribosomal RNA is filed under the name uncultured bacterium. RNAcentral's name for it is "partial 16S ribosomal RNA". It matches the Rfam family "Bacterial small subunit ribosomal RNA", at positions 524 to 776 of the family's 1533-position model. The record is from RNAcentral.
UACGUAGGCAGCGAGCGUUGUUCGGAGUUACUGGGCGUAAAGCGUGCGUAGGCGGUGUCUUAAGUUUGUUGUGAAAUCUCCCGGCUUAACCGGGAGGGUGCGGCGAAUACUGAGAUGCUGGAGUGCCGGAGAGGUAAGCGGAAUUCCUGGUGUAGCGGUGAAAUGCGUAGAUAUCAGGAGGAACACCUGCGGUGUAGACGGCUUACUGGACGGUAACUGACGCUGGGGCACGAAAGCGUGGGUAGCAAACAGG